RNAcentral lists this ribosomal RNA (247 nucleotides) under uncultured bacterium. RNAcentral's name for it is "partial 16S ribosomal RNA". It matches the Rfam family "Bacterial small subunit ribosomal RNA", at positions 524 to 769 of the family's 1533-position model. The record is from RNAcentral.
CACGUAGGGUGCGAGCGUUGUUCGGAUUUACUGGGCGUAAAGGGCGCGUAGGCGGUCAGCACAAGUCAGUUGUGAAAUCUCCGGGCUUAACUCGGAAAGGUCAACUGAUACUGUGCGGCUAGAGUGCGGAAGGGGCAACUGGAAUUCUUGGUGUAGCGGUGAAAUGCGUAGAUAUCAAGAGGAACACCUGCGGCGAAGGCGGGUUGCUGGGCCGACACUGACGCUGAGGCGCGAAAGCCAGGGGAGC